This 311-nucleotide ribosomal RNA is filed under the name uncultured eukaryote. RNAcentral's name for it is "partial 18S ribosomal RNA". It matches the Rfam family "Eukaryotic small subunit ribosomal RNA", at positions 1470 to 1796 of the family's 1831-position model. The record is from RNAcentral.
CCCCUAGACGUUCUGGGCUGCACGCGCGCUACAAUAAUACGCACAGCGAGUAUCACCGAGCUCGAAAAGGCAAGGUAAACAAUAGAAAAGGUACUGUAAUGGUUAUAGAUCCUUGUAAUUAUUGAUCUUCAACGAGGAAUUCCUAGUAAGUAUGUGUCAUCAUCACGCACUGAUUACGUCCCUGCCCUUUGUACACACCGCCCGUCGCUCCUACCGAUUGGGUGAGCCGAUGAAACUCUCGGAUGUAGGCUAUUCAUAGCCCGCAGAAGAGAUUUGAAUCGUAGCGCUUAGAGGAAGGAGAAGUCGUAACA